Cucurbita moschata (crookneck pumpkin) is the source of this 441-nucleotide long non-coding RNA. RefSeq lists it as uncharacterized. The record is from RefSeq and is a predicted model, not a curated record. NCBI's taxonomy places the organism in Eukaryota, Viridiplantae, Streptophyta, Magnoliopsida, Cucurbitales, Cucurbitaceae. The transcript is spliced from 2 exons.
GCCAACGUCCUCGCUGACACACCGCCCCGAUGUCUGCCUCUGAUGCCAUUUGUAACAGCUUAACCCCACCGUUAGUAUAUAUUGUCCUUUUCGAGCUUUCCCUUCUGGGAUUCCCCUCAAGGUUUUUAAAACGCGUCUAUUAGGGAGAGGUUUCCACACCUUUAUAAAGAAUGUUUUGUUCUCCUCCUCAACCAAUAUGGGCUAGCAAGUUAUCCCAACGUUCAAAUCAGACACAAAAAGUUCCAGUCUUAAUCCAAUAGUUCAUCUUGUCCAAGUUACCAAAAUAUCGACCAAGUCUCGAAACAUGGAAUAACCCAAACCAAAAGGAACUACUUAGUUGAGUCGUAAAGUUGUUCGACAUAACAUAUCUACCCCUAAAAAUCAAUCGCUCGCGUAUGCCUUUGGUUGCAUUUAGUCCCUAAAAUUCAAAUCUAGCAAUUU